RNAcentral lists this ribosomal RNA (199 nucleotides) under uncultured bacterium. RNAcentral's name for it is "partial 16S ribosomal RNA". It matches the Rfam family "Bacterial small subunit ribosomal RNA", at positions 328 to 539 of the family's 1533-position model. The record is from RNAcentral.
ACGCUCGACACCUAUGGGAGGCAGCAGUGGGGAAUAUUGCACAAUGGGGGAAACCCUGAUGCAGCGACGCCGCGUGAGCGAAGAAGUAUUUCGGUAUGUAAAGCUCUAUCAGCAGGGAAGAAACUGACGGUACCUGACUAAGAAGCACCGGCUAAAUACGUGCCAGCAGCCGCGGUAAUCUGAGGCGGGCUGGCAAGGC